GCUGGCGGCGUGCCUAACACAUGCAAGUCGAACGAGAAAGUGGAGCAAUCCAUGAGUAAAGUGGCGACCGGGUGAGUAACACGUGACUAACCUACCUUCGAGUGGGGGAUAACCUCGGGAAACCGGGGCUAAUACCGCAUAAUGCCUUCGGGUUAAAGGAGCAAUUCGCUUGAAGAGGGGGUCGCGGCUGAUUAGCUAGUUGGCGGGGUAACGGCCCACCAAGGCGAUGGUCGGUAGCCGGCCUGAGAGGGCGCACGGCCACACUGGAACUGAAACACGGUCCAGACUCCUACGGGAGGCAGCAGUGGGGAAUUUUGCGCAAUGGGGGAAACCCUGACGCAGCAACGCCGCGUGGAGGAUGAAGUCCUUUGGGACGUAAACUCCUUUCGACCGGGACGAUAAUGACGGUACCGGUGGAAGAAGCCCCGGCUAACUUCGUGCCAGCAGCCGCGGUAAUACGAGGGGGGCGAGCGUUGUUCGGAAUUAUUGGGCGUAAAGGGCGCGUANGCGGUGCGGUAAGUCACCUGUGAAACCUCUGGGCUU
This 543-nucleotide ribosomal RNA is filed under the name uncultured bacterium. Its description in RNAcentral is "bacterial SSU rRNA". It matches the Rfam family "Bacterial small subunit ribosomal RNA", at positions 35 to 610 of the family's 1533-position model. The record is from RNAcentral.